AUUGAACGCUGGCGGCAUGCCUUACACAUGCAAGUCGAACGGCAGCACGGGUGCUUGCACCUGGUGGCGAGUGGCGAACGGGUGAGUAAUACAUCGGAACAUGUCCUGUAGUGGGGGAUAGCCCGGCGAAAGCCGGAUUAAUACCGCAUACGAUCUACGGAUGAAAGCGGGGGACCCUCGGGCCUCGCGCUAUAGGGUUGGCCGAUGGCUGAUUAGCUAGUUGGUGGGGUAAAGGCCUACCAAGGCGACGAUCAGUAGCUGGUCUGAGAGGACGACCAGCCACACUGGAACUGAGACACGGCCCAGACUCCUACGGGAGGCAGCAGUGGGGAAUUUUGGACAAUGGGCGAAAGCCUGAUCCAGCAAUGCCGCGUGUGUGAAGAAGGCCUUCGGGUUGUAAAGCACUUUUGUCCGGAAAGAAAUCCUUGGCCCUAAUACGGUCGGGGGAUGACGGUACCGGAAGAAUAAGCACCGGCUAACUACGUG
Molecule: ribosomal RNA, 486 nt
Filed under: uncultured bacterium
Lineage: Bacteria
Description: partial 16S ribosomal RNA
Rfam family: Bacterial small subunit ribosomal RNA
Source: RNAcentral